Molecule: ribosomal RNA, 254 nt
Filed under: uncultured bacterium
Lineage: Bacteria
Description: partial small subunit ribosomal RNA
Rfam family: Bacterial small subunit ribosomal RNA
Source: RNAcentral
AGGACGAACGCUGGCGGCGUGCUUAACACAUGCAAGUCGAGCGGAAAGGCCCUUCGGGGUACUCGAGCGGCGAACGGGUGAGUAACACGUGAGUAAUCUGCCCCUAGCUCUGGGAUAGCUCCGGGAAACCGGGAUUAAUACCAGAUACGACCACUUUAGACAUCUGUCGUGGUGGAAAGGAUUCCGGCUAGGGAUGGGCUCGCGGCCUAUCAGCUUGUUGGUGGGGUAACGGCCUACCAAGGCGACGACGGGUA